GAAGCAUCUCUUAAACGCAACAAAUCUAUUUCUGUCAAAUAAGCAACCUAUAAGCUGAAAAGUUACUGGGGCCCUCAACUUGAAGUGACAAACUACUUAGGACUUGAACAAAAAAUUCCGAUGUCAUUUCCCUGCAAAGUUCUAUACCGUCCAUAUAUAUUGAAAAUACGUGUAUGCAGAUGCGGCCAAAGAUUACAGCAGCUUUGGUUGGUCAUCUUGUAAGGCUCUGAUCUCCCGUCGCUCCUUGGCAGGGCUAAUUACGAUCACACUUGGCUGAACCCGCUGACCGCAGUUUUGGACCUGGAUUUGUAUUGGACCUGGAUUGGGUUUUCUCGAUGUCGCAAAACCAAAAACAAAAUGAGAAGGAAAAAAAUCCAGUUGUUGACAACUUAAGUAAGGCGACACCCCAGGUAGAAUGGGUGUUCUUCAGGUACUCAGGAUCUCUGCACAUUUAAAACUCAUCCUUUUCACAUUUGGUUGUGGUGUGGUUGCAAAAACACAGGACACUUCAAGAAAAUAAAGCAGAUUCUUGGCGGGUUACAGGUUCCGACGCACAUAACUGAAGAUCAUCCUUGGGUUGUGGGCGAUGAUCCUGUGUCGAAGAAACUGAUCUUGAUCCCUCAGGAGUUGCUCAUAAUCAUCCAGUCCGUCAUUCAUCAGUCUACCAUCAGCAUAGGUCCGGUUUCCACCUGCAAAUCGUCGAUGGAGUCGUCGAUUUCGUUGACAACUGCAAAGAAA
This 738-nucleotide small RNA is filed under the name Drosophila ananassae. RNAcentral describes it as "GF26753". Lineage: Eukaryota; Metazoa; Arthropoda; Insecta; Diptera; Drosophilidae. The record is from RNAcentral.